ACCGGUAGCCAUUUCACCCUGCAGCCCAAGACCAGUUACUCACUGAAGCUAAGCAGGGCUGAGCCUGGUUAGUACCUGGAUGGAAGACCACUUGGGAAAACAAGGUGGCUGUUGGAA
Ribosomal RNA from Danio rerio (zebrafish), 117 nucleotides. NCBI's taxonomy places the organism in Eukaryota, Metazoa, Chordata, Actinopteri, Cypriniformes, Danionidae. The record is from Ensembl.